This 216-nucleotide ribosomal RNA is filed under the name Glomeromycotina sp. Its description in RNAcentral is "partial small subunit ribosomal RNA". The stretch from base 75 to 216 matches the Rfam family "Eukaryotic small subunit ribosomal RNA", at positions 721 to 864 of the family's 1831-position model. The record is from RNAcentral. Lineage: Eukaryota; Fungi; Glomeromycota.
GGGUCAGUAGGUUGGUCGUGCCACCGGUACGUACUGGUCUCACUGAUUCCUCCUUCCUGAGGGACCGUAAUGCCAUUAAUUUGGUGUUGCGGGGAAACAGGACUGUUACUUUGAAAAAAUUAGAGUGUUUAAAGCAAGCUAACGCUUGAAUACAUUAGCAUGGAAUAAUGAAAUAGGACGAUCGAUCCUAUUUUGUUGGUUUCUAGGAUUGACGUA